Non-coding RNA from Peziza echinospora, 138 nucleotides. NCBI's taxonomy places the organism in Eukaryota, Fungi, Ascomycota, Pezizomycetes, Pezizales, Pezizaceae. The record is from the annotation of a GenBank genome assembly.
UCCGUCAUGGUGUAGUGGCUAGCAUUUCAGACUCUCAUUCAUUCAUUUGUCCCGCCCCCAAGUACUUACCUACUUAGUGGUCAAAACACACAUGUGAUGUGUCCUCUGAGAACCCGGGUUCAAUUCCCGGUGACGGAA